Molecule: RNA transcript, 5584 nt
Organism: Talpa occidentalis (Iberian mole)
Lineage: Eukaryota; Metazoa; Chordata; Mammalia; Eulipotyphla; Talpidae
Gene: SYT6
Gene name: synaptotagmin 6
Exons: 7
Source: RefSeq, a predicted model, not a curated record
GACAGGCAGGUUGGGACAGUGGGCAGUGCACACAGGGGCCCUGGCCCAGACUCUGCCUCUACCAAUCUGUGGCUCCAGGCCAGUCCCCGCUCUGACCCCACUGCUGGCCUCAAGACUCAUGGGAAAUUUUCUUAGAACCAUGGAGCAUGGAGACAAGAUAAUCCAGGGGCUGCAGAUAUACAGGUCUGCAGGGGCCAGACAGGGAACAGCAAGUGGAGCUGGUGAGGACACAGCCUUCCACCCUGGCGCCAACCCCACACCUAGGACUCCAGUCCAGCUGCCGAGUCCUCUGGCCGUUUGCAGAGAAGCCAGACAUGUGGUGUGGUGGUGACGGUGGAAUUGCUCAACUUUUCAAUCACCGUGCAAACCAAACAAGACACCUCUGCUGGCUCGUCCAUCAGUGACCCUGUGCAGAGCCUGCCUGUGUACUGCUGGCUCAAGCCUCUGACCUCUCAGAACAAGGGGACUGGGGCCCAGAGGGCCAUUCCUAAAGGCAGAGCAGGGACUGUUUAACUUCUCCCAAAGGGAGGCAUCCCUCACAGCUCUCCUGGGACCAUGGGCAUCCUGGGGAGGCGGGUGGUGUAGGGUUGGGACAGUGAGUGGCCGCCCUUGACCCAACCGUGACAUUCAAAAAUACCAGUUUUACAGCAAUGCUCUCCAACUGCCCCAGGGAUGGAAAAGGAUAGCUGUAGCAAUCAUUUGCCCUUAGCUUUGAAAUAAACUGUGUGGAUCAGAUUCCAAUUUAAUGCAAGGGUUUAUUGGGCCUACUAUGUGCAGAGUCCUGGGAGCACAGACAAGCCAGUAGACCUAAUCCCUGCCCUCCAGGAGCAGGGAUUCAAUCUCAUUCAAAUCAGCUCAACAGCUACAUGUUGAGCUACUGCUGUGGGUUUGGCACAGGUGGGGCAAGGGAGAAAGCGGAGUUCAGCCAAGCCUCUGGCCCCCGAGGCCUCGCAGCCUGCUGAGGAAGAGAGCUGUGUGCAAGGAUGGCUGCUGCCAGGCUGGCCACAGUAGCAGCUCUAAUAGAAAUUCAAAAGGCAUCCAAAUGUGAACGCUUCACGAAUUUGCACAUUUGCUUCGGCUGCUGUUUAAAUUACUUUCCCUUCCGCGGUGCACGUGCUGGUAGGCAGCAGGGAGGGGGCCCAGGUGCUCCCCGGGCUGGCCAUGGUGGGGAGGGGGCGACGCUGGAGAAUCAGUCUGAGGUGCCCUCGAGGCCUCAGUUGUUUCACCAAGUGGACUCUGGCGCGUCGGCCCUGAAGCCGCCUCCCUCCUCCGGGCAGCUUUCUCAUGAUCAUUCUUUUCUCUUCUUCCGUCUCUGUCCCUUCUGUGUGCCCCUCUUCCAACACCCCGGCCCGCUUCCCCGCCUCUGUCUGUCUUGUCCCCCCGCCUGGCUCGCGCUGAGAGCAGGCACCUCCGUCAGCCUCCUCGCCGUGGUGGUUAUUGUGUGUGGCCUGGCCCUGGUGGCAGUUUUUCUCUUUCUUUUUUGGAAGCUGUGCUGGAUGCCCUGGAGGGGCAAGGAGGCCUCCAGUCCCUCUUCUGCUAACCCCCUCCCGGAGCCCCUCCAGAGCCCCAGCUCCAGAGGCAACAUGGCGGACAAGCUGAAGGACCCCGGCGCCCUGGGAUUCCUGGAGACGGCCGUGAAGAUCAGCCACACGUCCCCGGACAUCCCGGCCGAGGUGCAGAUGUCGGUCAAGGAGCACAUCAUGCGUCACACGCGGCUGCAGCGACAAACCACAGAGCCGGCGUCGUCCACCAGGCACACGUCUUUCAAGCGCCACCUGCCCAGGCAGAUGCACGUGUCCAGCGUGGAUUACGGCAAUGAACUGCCACCUGCGGCGGAGCAGCCCACCAGCAUUGGCCGCAUCAAGCCUGAGCUCUACAAGCAGAAGUCAGUGGAUGGGGACGAGGCCAAGUCUGAAGCCGCCAAGAGCUGCGGGAAGAUCAACUUCAGCCUCCGCUAUGACUAUGAGAGCGAGACCUUGAUCGUGCGCAUCCUGAAGGCCUUCGACCUCCCUGCCAAGGACUUUUGCGGCAGCUCUGACCCUUAUGUCAAGAUCUACCUCCUGCCCGACCGCAAAUGCAAGCUGCAGACCCGGGUGCACCGCAAGACCCUGAACCCCACCUUCGAUGAGAACUUCCAUUUUCCUGUGCCCUACGAGGAGCUGGCCGACCGCAAGCUGCAUCUCAGUGUCUUCGAUUUCGACCGUUUCUCCCGCCAUGACAUGAUUGGGGAGGUCAUCCUGGACAACCUCUUUGAGGCCUCUGACCUGUCCCGGGAAACCUCCAUCUGGAAGGACAUCCAGUAUGCCACAAGUGAAAGCGUGGAUUUGGGAGAGAUCAUGUUCUCGCUCUGCUACCUGCCCACAGCAGGCAGGCUCACGCUCACCGUCAUCAAAUGCCGGAACCUCAAGGCCAUGGACAUCACAGGCUAUUCAGAUCCAUAUGUCAAAGUGUCCCUGCUCUGUGACGGGCGAAGACUGAAGAAGAAAAAAACCACCAUAAAGAAGAACACGCUCAAUCCGGUCUACAACGAGGCCAUCAUCUUUGACAUCCCCCCGGAGAACAUGGACCAAGUCAGCCUGCUCAUCUCGGUCAUGGAUUACGAUCGAGUGGGCCACAAUGAGAUCAUAGGAGUGUGUCGUGUGGGGAUCAACGCCGAAGGCCUGGGCAGGGACCACUGGAACGAGAUGCUGGCAUACCCACGGAAGCCCAUCGCACACUGGCACUCCUUGGUGGAGGUAAAGAAAUCCUUCAAAGAGGGAAACCCUCGGUUGUGAUUUCAUUCACGUGGAUGCUGCCAGCAGAGAGACUGCCACCCGGAGUUAGGAUGGCAGGGCCGAGCCGCCAGCUUCGACAGCGAGAGCUCGGGCCCAUGUCCGAAACCACCUCCGACACCAUGAGCUGCACGGCCGAGCGACACCAACGGGACUCAGCAGCGUUCAUUUUGCACUCGUUCAACCGUCUACACAGCGCUGAGCGGAGCGGCAGCCAGGGCGGUCUCCCCGAGUGAGUCCUCACCGCUCCAUGUAGGUCAAGGCCAAGACACCUGUCACGUGGUCAGAUCUGUCUUCGUUUUUUUCUGUCUCCCAAGGUGAUGUUUUUUGUGGUUUUCACUUUCUACGGAUCUGCUGUCAAGAAAUGAUGAACAAAAGAUGAAGCGUGGAGAGCCCAGAGGUCGGUUCUAGAAAACACAAUGUAAAAUAGUCGUCUCUGGGGGGAGGUGGUUUGAGUUUCUGACGUUUUGUGUCUCCACCAAGCUCCCCCACCCAGAAGGACCAUGGAAGCAGGGCUGCGCUUUCUGUGUGGGCAGGAACAACGUCAGCCAGCGGAAGACCGUAAAGACAUUAGUUAAGACUUUAAAGGUGAAUUGUGAUUUUUGGAAACUCUUUGCUGAUGUGACCUAUGUCAAGAUGAGGACUUCUGGUCCCAUAUGGAUGUGGGUGGGGGGCUCUGCGGUGUCUGGACUCUUCAGCUGGCUAUGGAGGGCUCCUCACUAGCCCCUUCCUCAUUAUCCUUCACUAAUUGAAAAUGUAGCUCCCUCAAGGGAGCGCAGUCACUGUCUUUAGGAACAAUUCUGCAGAAAGGAAACUUGCCAUAUGUUUUCUGGCGUGCCACAGCUAAUGACCACAUUUGUUUGAAAAUAGGGUCUUUGUUCUCAAAAAUAAUCUUCACUGUAAAGAAAGGAGGCACAUAUGUUGGAGAGUGAUUUCUGCAUUAUACAUAGCUUUAUAAUCCCACGAAGUACCAAGCAGCUGUUUAAAAAGCCUAAAUAGAUCAAAGCAAAACUGAGAUAAAAUGUGCUUUCCUGAAUGGGGAGUCUUGAAACCCCAGUGAUGGUUGGAGUCCAUCUUUCCACGCGAGUGUUUUGUUGAUGGAUGCUGAGUCAGCUUAAGCCUAUUACAGCCCCCUGGACACUGGGACAAUAUUCAUCUUAAACUUUAGUUCUAUAAAUUACUAAGUACUUCAGUGUUGUUUGUUUCAGUGGUAGUGAAGGUUUUUUGUUUUUUUUUUUCCCUUUAGAACUCUACCUUAGCCAAAUUCAGUUUAGGAAAAAAAAAUGUUCAACUUUUCUGUAUUGUAAUAUUAUACUUAUGUUGAAUUGAUAGUGACCUCCCCACCAACCCCCUAUAAUUAGGUUGAUUUGCUCAAUCUUAGUUUUUCUUGCCCUGGUAAAUGCGUGGAGUUUCCACUUCAACUUGAGAUGACACCUUGUCGAUUUCCAGAGUUGUGGGUAGGACUUGCAAGAGGUGAAUGUGCUGAAGAAGGCCUUCUUGCUGAUGGAAGGCCGAGAACGUAAAAGCUAUCCACACGCCGUGUGUCUUACUCUUUAUAUAUGUCAUCUGCUUUAGGGACAGCAACUCAAUAAGUCUCCCUCGUUUUCAGCUGAGUUACCAGGUUUUUCUGCUGAUGAAACUUUAGGGAGUUUUCUAGUUCUAAAAAUGACCAGACUGGGCAUAAGGUAUGUGGUUAUCGUUGCAAAAGAUGUUUUCGGCCUAGAAAAGGAAAUGUAGAUAAACCAAAUUCCACCCUGGACUGAACCAUAGGCCAGUCCAGGUACUAAGGUGUCAUUGGUAUAAAGAUUUUCUCGCCAGAUGUGUUGUGAGUGAUAACCCUUCCUAGUCAGGCAGACGCACAGCCUAACAGCUGGAUGUGCUCUUGAGAGGAAGACAAACACAAGGCCAUGGCAAGUCUCCUGGCAGGCCAUAAACCUCCUUCUGUUUCUUAACUCCAGACUGAGCCACUUGAGUUGGUCUCAAUCACUGAGCAGAUGCUGUGGGUCCUGUAACGAAUUUCCAGGGCCAGAAAGUGAGGGGUGAGGGGUCUUUCCAAAAGUGAGCUCAGUCUCCAUGGCCAGCGGUCACCUCACCUUCAAACCCGUAGUCGGAAGUGCAUCUCUAUGCUUCUGGAGCAGGGAGUUCGCUCCUCUUGCGCCAUAAACUAGCCGUUGUUCCCGCCGUUCCUCGGUUCCGAGCCGCUGUCCCAUGCAGGAGAGCCCCUGACGGUUUUGGAGAAUAUUUUCUGAGCAGAUUAUGGUCAGCCCCACACCACCCUAACCAACUGCUACUACGCCAACUCUAGUCCUCUGGGUACAUUUCUCCAGGCGCAGCAGCUUACCCAGGGUUCUGUCGGCUCCUGGACCCCCACCCCAGGCAUCCUCUGGGGAGAAAGUCCUCAACCUGAAGCAGGAAUGGAACAUGAAUGUCUGCCAACUUCAAUAUCUAGUCCGACAUCUCUCCUUCGCACGUGAGAACAAAAGGAAUUAGAAGUUCAGCAUAAAAUGAUAUCCAAGGUUGACUCAUUUUUAAUGUCUUCUGCUAGGGAGAAACCGCUUGGGUUGCUAUUGUGAGCUUUGGUGAAGUUGCAAAAACCAGGGCAUUUUGCACAUAGAUUUCUUUUUUUAAUGCAAAGUUCCCUUGUCCUUUAUUUAGCAGUGUUUCUGGGCUGAAAGAUUCCCUCUCCCCCACCCCUCACAUACUCAAGAUGUUAAUUAAUUGCAUCGUCAUUUAAAAAAUUAUGUUGUUAAUUACUGCUCUGUGUCUUCCCGCCCCUGUCACAGCCUGGAGUUUUUAUUCAAUUAAAUCUGUCU